Molecule: long non-coding RNA, 625 nt
Organism: Chiloscyllium plagiosum (whitespotted bambooshark)
Lineage: Eukaryota; Metazoa; Chordata; Chondrichthyes; Orectolobiformes; Hemiscylliidae
Source: RefSeq, a predicted model, not a curated record
UGAAGGAGUUCACUAGCUUUGGCAGUUCGUUUUUGGCUGUGGUGUGAGCGGGUUGAAGAAAAUGUCAACCAGGGUUAACGUAAACUGGUGCUUCUUUUUGGUUAAAGGUGUUGCUGGCUAGGCCUGUAUCUGUUGUCUACCUCUGAAUGGCUAGUGGACAGUUAAGUCAAUCACAUUGCUGUGGAUCUGGAGUCCCGUAGAGGCCAGACAAGCUCAGAAUUACAGACUGCGCAACUGGAGCACUGAAGAACACACGAGCACCACCUGCUGGAAUGUCAUGCAGUUAUUUGCUGUUUUGAUAGAUAAAUGGAAAAAGAUGAAUUUCAGACCGUUUGAACUCCUCAUAAUUUUCUUCCUAGUUGCAAAGUGGUCUAGUCAAAUGAAGACUGCAGUUAUGGAAAAAUGAUAUGGUUAGUGUAUUGCACAAUUACCAACAAUACAUAAAUUAAAAUUGCCUACAAAUAGCUGCAAACAUUCAUUUUUGUAACAACAAGGGAACAACUGUCUGCUUAACUUACUUUUGACCUGUUUGCUCUUUGUCAUAUGCUUCAGAAGUAUGUACUUUUGGAAUGAUGUACUCAAUAUUGUUCUCAAUCUUUGUAAAUUAAACAUACUUUGAGCUGGA